This 344-nucleotide unclassified non-coding RNA is filed under the name soil metagenome. RNAcentral's name for it is "partial contains 5.8S ribosomal RNA, internal transcribed spacer 2, and large subunit ribosomal RNA". The stretch from base 1 to 120 matches the Rfam family "5.8S ribosomal RNA", at positions 35 to 154 of the family's 154-position model. The record is from RNAcentral.
GAUGAAGAACGCAGCGAAAUGCGAUAAGUAAUGUGAAUUGCAGAACUCAGUGAAUCAUCGAAUCUUUGAACGCACAUUGCGCCCGCCAGUAUUCUGGCGGGCAUGCCUGUUCGAGCGUCAUUUCAACCCUCAAGCCCCCGGGCUUGGUGUUGGGGAUCGGCGUGCCCUCGCGGCGCGCCGUCCCCUAAAUCUAGUGGCGGUCUCGCUGUAGCUUCCUCUGCGUAGUAGCAACACUCGCACUGGAUUGCAGCGCGGCCACGCCGUUAAACCCCCCACUUCUGAAAGUUUGACCUCGGAUCAGGUAGGAAUACCCGCUGAACUUAAGCAUAUCAAUAAGCGGAGGA